RNAcentral lists this long non-coding RNA (2343 nucleotides) under Zea mays. RNAcentral describes it as "long non-coding RNA (ZMAY_LNC004567)". The record is from RNAcentral. Lineage: Eukaryota; Viridiplantae; Streptophyta; Magnoliopsida; Poales; Poaceae.
ACGAACGCCACGCUUCUUUCUUUCUUUCUCUCGCCGUCGCCGGCCGUGACUCCAGCUGUCCCUCACUGCUGAAAGCGUGAAACAUGUCUCCCACGUGGGGGAUCCAGAAAUCCAGUGAACUGUAGGCUCACUUUUGUUUGCUUGCAUUGUGUGGUCACCGCAGAGAUUAUUGGGAAGUGCGUCCUCCCGUCGAAAGCUUGGAUUCAAGAAACAACAACAGUCAAGUCUAGAGGAUUCAAGACAAGUUCGGUUUAACCUCGUACUAGGAACGUAGAAUAAUGUAAACAUUGGCAUCUGCACAUCAGGAUAACUGAUGUCUUUGUGUUGCUUUGCUUUUCGGACACUCAUGAACCAUCGUUCCUGUUUCCUGAGGCGGAUCUCCUGCUAGGUUUGGUUCCCGGCUUCUGGCUUUAUCGGAUACUGUAGCUUUUUUAAAAAUACAUCUGGGGUCCUUAACUUUUUUAUAUUCUCAGCUACGCUAUGAAACUAAAAAAAAAAAUCCCAAACCACCACUACGCCAUCACCAUCUGUCAGUUAGUUAAAUUCAAAAAAAAAACUCUCUUCAAUCUCCCUCUCUCUUUGUUUAUUCCAUGGCCGCUGAGUAUGUGCCUCGCCAGUCGUCAUGAUAGGACUGUGCAGACGAACGCACGAGAGUUCACGCGAGAUGGGGGGGGGGGGGGGGGGGGGGGGGGGGGCAAGAAGAAUAAAAAGAGUCGUAGUAGAAAAAGGAAAAAUACACAUUUUUAGGUUUCAUAAUCUAAUCUUAAUAUAAGUAAAAGAUAAUACACGUGGACAAAAUUCAAACUUCUGUUGAUGGCAACUCGAUUGCAUGUAUAAUGAGAUGGUGCAAAAAGAAAUAAAUUAUGACAAUACUAGCUCAUGAGUAGAUAUUAGAAGGAAGAAAAAGAUACUAAUAAUAGUGAACAAUUUUUUAGCUUUCACCUGCUCCUUGAUAGUAUCUUCAAAGGCAACGAACAUCUAGUAGUGGCACUAAAGGCUGGCGAGCAUCUGCUGUGAAAGUAUAUAAUUUCAGCUUCAAUUUCAGGCAGUAUCGGAUGAGCAACAAAAACUAGACAGGUAAACGUGCAUAUGCAAUAGACAAUAAGACCUAAUACAUUUUUAAAGUUCAAUAGUUUCAUUAGUAUCGAAAAUGUCAUCAAAUAUAUCGAAUACUUGCAGUGGCCAAACCACACCGGCAAGAAAAAAAAUGUUGAAUAAAUUUUUUUAUGAUACAUGGAGAUAGCUAGUGAAAGAACUUUUGCAAAACAACCGUCUAAUGUUGUCUCCUGCAACUAUCCUAUCGUAUUCCUUAUUUCAAACUUCAUUAUAUAAAUAGUAUAAUAUAUGGUGUACAAUUUUUAUUUUACAUUAUUUGCUACGGACAACCUAAUAAGUUAAAAUUUAGGAUUAUAUGUGUGAUAAAUCCAACACCGUUGCAUGAGUUACGAUUGUCAUGAAGGUUGUCGGGACAUGUUCAAAUCAGAAAUGAACCUUCUAUGUCAUCGAGUUAAGCCAGUAAUAGGAGAUAAAAUUAAAACCUGGCUUCAGUAUUCUGUUCUGUAACUUUCAUUUUUCUUUCUAUACUUACCCUUCUGUAUCUACUCCCCCUUCAUUUUCUUAAGCAAUAAAAUACUGUAAGCCUCCCUACAGUAACUUUUAUUUCAAAAAAAAGUUACGAUUGUCAUGCAACUCAAAUGUGUUCCUUCUAUUAUAUGUAAACGAGUUAUGAGUAGACAACUGAAAUGAUAAUUUAUUUUAAUAAAUUGUCUAUUAAACUAUCUUAUGAUUACAUAGAACUAAAUGUUGAUGUCAAGCUCCUAAUAGCGAACAACUCCAAGUCAUGAAAACCAUCAUGAUGCAUAGAAUUAUAUAAUAUAUAUAUAAGAGCUAAAAAAAUGUCUCCGGUUUAAAUGUACAAAAGAGCUAAAAAAAUACUAGAUACAAAUUUCAAAAGUGACUUUUAUCUCCAAUAGAGCUUACCAAGAUGAGGCCAACUUAAUUUGGACUCAGCCAAAAUUAUUCUGUCACAAUAUAAUAAUAGGAAAAAAAACGAGAAAGAUGACAAUAGCUCGAGCUAAAUUCUUUGCUCGCAAUCAUUACUCUCGCCGUGAAUUCAGAGUAUCGAGCAGUCCAGCUGUUCCUCACUACUGAAAGCUGAAACAUGUCCUCCACGUGAGGAAUCCAGAGAUCCAGAAAUUGUUGUUUGCUCACUGUCGUUUGCCGCGGAGAUUGGAAACUGUGUCCUCCCGUCGAUUGCUUGGGCUCCAGCGAAGCAUACAUGAUACAUCUGAUGCUCAACUUUCGAGACAUGUUCAGUUUUAACCUCGUACUAGGAACGUAGAA